CGCAUCUUCUUUGGGGAGCAGAAACCUCUUCCCAUUAGCACCACUUCGAGACACCCGCGUUCCCCGCCGGAGUCCAAUCCAUCCCGCUCACCUUCCGGAGGGGGCCCUCGCACCGGCCUGCCGCGGGGAUCGCUUGCAUAAGACAAGAAGAGAUUAAAUGGGAAACGUGAAGACCUCUUCCUUCUUGCUUCUCAAAGGCAUCCAACGUAGGUCAUCCCCCAUCCUGUUCUCUAGCUGCAGCUGGACUUCCAGGAGGCUGGUUUCUCUCUCAGAAGCACAGUGUGUGGAGCUAUCCGUGGUGCUGACUCUGCUCCCUGCCUUUAAGGAGAAGUCAUUGAGGAAGUCAACCAAUGACAGUGGAACAGCAAACUCAGUCAAGUGGCUGUUAAGGCACAUACCCUGAUCUUAGUCACCAAGCGCCUAGAAAAACACACAUUACUAUUUUUGACACAUUUCUUAAACUCCUUCCUUUUUUACUUAUCUUUUAAACUAAACUCAAGUUCAUAUUUCUCUCAAAAUCCCAGCUACAGAGGAGAAAAAAAAGGCAACUUGUGUGAACUGAAAAUUUUCCAUAUAAAAUUUCAUUGCCUAUAAGGUUUCAUGACACAGUAGUACAAUAACAAGUUGUAACAAAGCAGCAUGGCUGGGUGAUACAUUUUAAAUGACUUGUAAAUUCAGAAGAUGAAUACCACUUCAACAUAAUAACUAUCCUCAUUAUAUUUUGAAACACAAAUGUUUUUCUACUACAGAGUAAGAAGAAUUAACAUGUCAGAAGUUUACUGUGCAGUGUUCCUGUUUACGACUGUGACGCUGACUUUCACAAACUUUGAGUUUGGAAACCCUGUAGCUCCACUUUCUCCAAGAGGAAAAAUGGAAUCCUAUUCUCUAGAGCAUUUUUUUUCCUUUAGCUACAACUCUCAAAAUGGUAUGUACAUGAUAAAUUUCUAUAGCCUAUGUAACAUAUAAGCAAGAUUAUAGGUUUCACAUUUCCUCAGCCUCAUUUUACUAAGUUCAGUUCUAUUCAUGAAUCUAUGCAAAAUCAUAGAACAUUCCACAACCUAUGCAUUGUAAUUGAUUGAUUUGAACAGAAGAUUAAAGGCAUCCUGUUUCUAAAUUACCCCAGUAAUUGUGUUCAUGCAUUAUAUAUUGGUACAGUGGAGACAAGUACAUUAAUCUAUACUCACCCAAUAAUAGAAUAAAACCAGAGAGUGACAAUCAGGGCUUCUUGAUGUCUGGAAAGUUAUCUACCUUCAUCCUACUCUCUUUAAAAGUGAACCAGCUAUUAUGGGUUUUAUUUCUGACAAGCAUUUUGAAUUCUUUUGAGUUGUAAAUCCAAAUACUGAAAAAAAAAAUAGAUAAACUGAGCUCUCACAAUCCCGUACAAUGUACAACUUGAUACCCAGGCUCCUGAUUUUGGCCAUAGAUUCAUAUAUCUUUUAAAACUAACCUAGUUACCCACAUUUCCUUGAAUCUAAGCUAUUAAGAAUUUGUAUGUGUAAAUGUUUUAACAAUGCCUAACACACAGUAAACAGCAAGUGUUAUACACAUUUUACAUGUGUGCUGUUGGGUGUAUUACUCAGUGAUAAACCAUGUUUGUUUAGCAUGGAUACCAUUGUAGCACACUUUAAGAAAUAACACUUUUCUUUAAAAAAUUACAUUAGAAAAAAUUUAGGCAUCAUAUAUGCUUACUCCAGUCUUCAGAGAAAUUGUAAUCAUCAUAGAAUUUUGAAGUGGUAGUCUUAUGCUGAGAAGAAAAAAAAAACUGUGUGAGGAAAUGAGUGGUGUUACUUCAGCAUUUUACUGUUGUUUAAAAGUGAUAAAGAGAGUAAUUUGGUGAUAUUUAUGUGAAGUUUUUUGUACAAUUUUGCAAAACUGUGUUAUUGAUCUGAUGACCACAAUGCAUCAUUUUAAUGGCUAUCUUAAUGUGGUCUUGUGUGGAGAUGCUGGAUGGCCUUUUGCUAACUGGGUCACAUCUAACUUAAGAAACAUCUGACUCUACAGUUAGGGGUUGGGCAGAUUUUGACUUGCAUUUUCCUCUCUCUGUAGCUCUGGAAUCUCCUCAGAGGCAGGAAUGUUGAGCUCAACUACAGUUUGGAGUAGAGAUAAAAGUAGAGCAAAGACCAGAUUUUAACAUCACACUAUUUUAUUCUAGUGGAAUUAGGGGCUGGGAGCUGGUUCAACUGCUGAAGUGCUUUCUGCACAUCAUGACAGUCUGAGUUCUCAUGAUUAGGGUUGGGAUUCUCACCUCCCACAGAGAAGCAGGGUAUUAUGGCUUACCCAAUGCUGGGCAAGAGGGGACAGGUGAAUUCUAGAGGUGUUAGUCAAGCAAUCUAGUUGAUUAAAUCUAGCUCAAAAUUCAGUGAGGAAUACUUUCUCAAAAAAUAAGGUGGGAAGCACCCAAGGAAGAUACCUAAUAACAAUCUAGAGACUUCUAAAAUCCAAGGAAGACAGUGAUACUGGGGAGGCCCAAUAUUGGUUCCUGACCCCUUUCCCCCCACCACACACAAAUACAAAUACAUUUCCAUACACAAAAUGUUAAAACAUAAUGGAUACUACUGAAAACAUUUAAGAUAUCUAAUUGUGAAUUCAUUUAUAAAAUCAGUGGUUUAACUUCUGUUUUUCAGGUUUGUGUGAACAAUAAUGAAAAGAGGUAUGCAAAUAUUUAAGCAUAAAAUCAUUUUAUUGAUGAUAUGUUAAACUGACUAUAUUAAGAAACUCUGUUCUGUGAAGACUGAGGUGGCUGUCUUCUUCCUAAAGCAUUCCACCAAUCAUCACAGAAAAUAACCUGUUCAAAUGAAUCAAAGAUCCAUUAAUAACAGAAACUGAUAAAGGAUACUGAUACAAUUGAAUUUGAUAACUUAUGAAAAAUCACCUAAAACACAUAAAAGUAGAUUAUAGCAAUAUUAUGGCUAAAUAUUUGAUAGUGUACAUUAGAAGUUUUUGACUCUUAGCUUUAUCCUGAUAUUAUAGCAUUUCCACAUAGUUUUAGAAUACUUUUUAUC
Long non-coding RNA from Meriones unguiculatus (Mongolian gerbil), 3002 nucleotides. RefSeq lists it as uncharacterized. Lineage: Eukaryota; Metazoa; Chordata; Mammalia; Rodentia; Muridae. The record is from RefSeq and is a predicted model, not a curated record. The transcript has 3 exons.